GUGCUCGCUUCAGCAGCACAUAUACUAAAAUUGGAACGAUACAGAGAAGAUUAGCAUGGCCCCUGCUCAAGGAUGACACGCAAAUUCGUGAAGUGUUCCAUAUUUUU
RNAcentral lists this small nuclear RNA (107 nucleotides) under Tupaia belangeri (northern tree shrew). The record is from RNAcentral. Lineage: Eukaryota; Metazoa; Chordata; Mammalia; Scandentia; Tupaiidae.